CCUACGGGUGGCAGCAGUGGGGAAUAUUGCACAAUGGGGGAAACCCUGAUGCAGCGACGCCGCGUGAGUGAAGAAGUAUUUCGGUAUGUAAAGCUCUAUCAGCAGGAACGAGACAAGACGGUACCUGACUAAGAAGCGCCGGCUAACUAGGUGCCAGCAGCCGCGGUAAUACGUAGGGGGCAAGCGUUAUCCGGGUUGACGGGGGGGAAGGGGGGCGCAGACGGCAGCGCAAGCAAGGAGUGAAAGCCCGGGGCCCAACCCCGGGACUGCUCGUGGAACUGCUGGGUUGGAGUGCAGGAGGGGCAGGCGGAAUUCCUGGUGUAGCGGUGGAAUGCGUAGAUAUCAGGAGGAACACCGGUGGCGAAGGCGGCCUGCUGGACUGCGACUGACGUUGAGGCCCGAAAGCGUGGGGAGCAAACAGGAUUAGAUACCCGAGUAGUC
This 441-nucleotide ribosomal RNA is filed under the name uncultured bacterium. RNAcentral's name for it is "partial 16S ribosomal RNA". It matches the Rfam family "Bacterial small subunit ribosomal RNA", at positions 338 to 795 of the family's 1533-position model. The record is from RNAcentral.